This 338-nucleotide unclassified non-coding RNA is filed under the name soil metagenome. RNAcentral's name for it is "partial contains 5.8S ribosomal RNA, internal transcribed spacer 2, and large subunit ribosomal RNA". The stretch from base 1 to 120 matches the Rfam family "5.8S ribosomal RNA", at positions 35 to 154 of the family's 154-position model. The record is from RNAcentral.
GAUGAAGAACGCAGCGAAAUGCGAUAAGUAGUGUGAAUUGCAGAAUUCAGUGAAUCAUCGAAUCUUUGAACCCACAUUGCGCCCUUUGGUAUUCCUUAGGGCAUGCCUGUUCGAGCGUCAUUUGAAACCUCAAGCUCAGCUUGGUGUUGGGUGUCUGUCCCCGCCUCACCGCGGGGACUCGCCUCAAAAUCAUUGGCGGCCGGUACGUUGGCUUCGAGCGCAGCAGAAACGCGAACUCGAGGCCCGGCGGAUCGGCGACCAGAAGUCACUUCUUCACAGUUUGACCUCGGAUCAGGUAGGGAUACCCGCUGAACUUAAGCAUAUCAAUAAGCGGAGGA